This 1242-nucleotide long non-coding RNA is filed under the name Cucumis sativus (cucumber). Its description in RNAcentral is "long non-coding RNA (CSAT_LNC002255)". The record is from RNAcentral. Lineage: Eukaryota; Viridiplantae; Streptophyta; Magnoliopsida; Cucurbitales; Cucurbitaceae.
GGUAUCAGAGCUAUAGGGUUUUAGUCUCCUUGUAUUCUAGCCGUCACAUCCCCGCUCGUCUGCCUCCGUUGAUUCGUCGACGGAGGCAGAGCCAUACCCAUCAGUAAUCAAUACACAUCAUGUCUCCAAGUAAUUCGCUCUGCCUCCUAGAUCAAAAUCCUCGUCUCUGAUUCUGCUGCCGCCGCCACUACUCCUUCUGCCAUCACUGCUCCUUCCAUCCACCAGUUCGUCGCACUCUCGACCCAGUUCGUCGCACUCUCGACCCAUAUCCGCUCUCCAUUCGUCCUCACUUAGAUCUACUUGUGCGCACAUUGCAAGCACCGAUUUGUUCGUGCAUCUCUGUUCGUGUCUUCGACUUCCAGAUCCGUGUUUUAUUUCAUCUUUCGCCUUCGAAUCAUACUGUUCAAGAUCAGACCGACCUGCCGCCGCCGCCCUUUACUCGUACCAGACAAUCUCUUUAGAUUGAAGACUCCCGAUCCUGAAGAGGGUGAAUCUUUGUUCAGAUCCAUGAUCCACCGCUCCGCUCCACUCACAGCCGACGACGCACAGGUUCGGCUUUGUCCGCUCUCCAUUUGUGAAGCUCGCCGUCAUGAAACGCAUCUUCUCUUUUUGCGAAGAACGCCGCAAAGUUCUCUAUCUACUCAACCUCUCAGUUCUCUUCAGUUUUCGUUCUGUUCAUCCAGAUUUCCUGUUCAGUUUGAUUCUGACUUGCUUUAGUUUAGUUCGUUCAGUUCCAUUCUGAUGACGAAACGCUCCUGCCCAAUUCAGACCACGUUUUCAUCCUGAUUUGAUUCUACUUUGCUUCAGUUUUGCUCUUUCAUUUUGCCCCCGGAGUUCUUGUUUCGUUCUUCCUAGGUUCUGUUAUAGAUCUCUAUACGAGGAUCUAUGUUUCUAUCCCAGAAGUUCUUCGUUUCGCUCUUCGUGGGUUUGUUUUAGCCUAGAAGUUCUUUGUGUGUUUGUUCUUCGGGUUUUUUAUUCUAUUCUAGAUAUAUUGUUUCUUUUCUUAGUUCUUAGCAAACUCAAGUUUGUGAUUUCAACCUUGAGUUUGAGGGAGGGUAUUAAUAUAAUUAGAUUAUUCUUAGGAGAUAUUAUUCUUAGGAGAUAUUAUUCUUAGGAGAUAUUAUUCUGGAGAUAUUAUUUGAUAUUAUUUCCUUAAGUGUAUUUCUCUAUGGUUAUAUAUAGGCUUGUAUCUCUAUUAAGUAAUUAAGGAAAUAUAGAUUGAUUCCAUAAAAUCAACAAUAA